RNAcentral lists this ribosomal RNA (1181 nucleotides) under Escherichia coli. RNAcentral describes it as "partial 23S ribosomal RNA". It matches the Rfam family "Bacterial large subunit ribosomal RNA", at positions 552 to 1735 of the family's 2925-position model. Lineage: Bacteria; Pseudomonadati; Pseudomonadota; Gammaproteobacteria; Enterobacterales; Enterobacteriaceae. The record is from RNAcentral.
GAAACCGUGUACGUACAAGCAGUGGGAGCACGCUUAGGCGUGUGACUGCGUACCUUUUGUAUAAUGGGUCAGCGACUUAUAUUCUGUAGCAAGGUUAACCGAAUAGGGGAGCCGAAGGGAAACCGAGUCUUAACUGGGCGUUAAGUUGCAGGGUAUAGACCCGAAACCCGGUGAUCUAGCCAUGGGCAGGUUGAAGGUUGGGUAACACUAACUGGAGGACCGAACCGACUAAUGUUGAAAAAUUAGCGGAUGACUUGUGGCUGGGGGUGAAAGGCCAAUCAAACCGGGAGAUAGCUGGUUCUCCCCGAAAGCUAUUUAGGUAGCGCCUCGUGAAUUCAUCUCCGGGGGUAGAGCACUGUUUCGGCAAGGGGGUCAUCCCGACUUACCAACCCGAUGCAAACUGCGAAUACCGGAGAAUGUUAUCACGGGAGACACACGGCGGGUGCUAACGUCCGUCGUGAAGAGGGAAACAACCCAGACCGCCAGCUAAGGUCCCAAAGUCAUGGUUAAGUGGGAAACGAUGUGGGAAGGCCCAGACAGCCAGGAUGUUGGCUUAGAAGCAGCCAUCAUUUAAAGAAAGCGUAAUAGCUCACUGGUCGAGUCGGCCUGCGCGGAAGAUGUAACGGGGCUAAACCAUGCACCGAAGCUGCGGCAGCGACGCUUAUGCGUUGUUGGGUAGGGGAGCGUUCUGUAAGCCUGCGAAGGUGUGCUGUGAGGCAUGCUGGAGGUAUCAGAAGUGCGAAUGCUGACAUAAGUAACGAUAAAGCGGGUGAAAAGCCCGCUCGCCGGAAGACCAAGGGUUCCUGUCCAACGUUAAUCGGGGCAGGGUGAGUCGACCCCUAAGGCGAGGCCGAAAGGCGUAGUCGAUGGGAAACAGGUUAAUAUUCCUGUACUUGGUGUUACUGCGAAGGGGGGACGGAGAAGGCUAUGUUGGCCGGGCGACGGUUGUCCCGGUUUAAGCGUGUAGGCUGGUUUUCCAGGCAAAUCCGGAAAAUCAAGGCUGAGGCGUGAUGACGAGGCACUACGGUGCUGAAGCAACAAAUGCCCUGCUUCCAGGAAAAGCCUCUAAGCAUCAGGUAACAUCAAAUCGUACCCCAAACCGACACAGGUGGUCAGGUAGAGAAUACCAAGGCGCUUGAGAGAACUCGGGUGAAGGAACUAGGCAAAAUGGUGCCGUAACU